CCUAAUCACAUCUUAGCAGGAGUGAUUUCUUUGUGCUGAUCUCUUCCCCUCCUCCCUCCCCGGUUUGGUUUUACUUAACAGAUUCUUUAUAUCCCAUACGUUAGCAGAUAUGAUUGCACAGCUGCCGGUCUCCGACUGCUGGAGACAGAGGCUUUGAGACACCCGGGCUAGAGAGAAUAACAGCUAAUCUGAACAGCUGUGUGAUGGGGACAAGCGCAAAUGAGUAUAAGCCCAGGUGUGGGAGAAUAAUUCUCCUGCACAAAGAAGGAAGCUUCAUCCCACAGGUGUGUUACUCUCCACUGUUACAUCUGAAAAACUUAGUUUGAAGGAUUUCUCAUGUUUAAUUGCUUGGCUGCACUCUGGGCCUUGACUUGGAUGUGGAUCCUGCACACAAAGUGGAAGAACAGCUGUACAAGAGAUGGUGUGUCUGACUCAGAGCGCUGUCUCUGACCAUGGCCAACUGCAGAUGUCUAGGAAAGAGCAUGAGAACAAGUUGCAGUUUCGUGGGAAUAGCCCUGGCCAUGAGAUGGUGCACUGGAAUAUUCAUGGCAGAAAAGCACCUAAGGAGACCCAGCAUGGAAGUGUGGAUGUAUGUACCUGUGCUGUAUCUAAGCUUUUCAGGAUUUUCCAUGGCUUCCAGCUCCUGCAGAUCUACAAAUGCCUCCCUCACUCAGCUUGAUGGAUUUCCUGAAGAAGUAGGUGAAGGAGAAGACUGUCUUGUACUAUCAAAUGACACCUCAAACAAACGCUGAAUUACAUCAUGCUUUUACACUCAUCUUUUAGAGACAGCUCAGAUUUGAAUACAACUCUUGCAGCCUUUGAUUCUGGGGAAUUUAACACAUCUUAAUUCCUACGUGUAAGGUCCCCUUUUCACUCUGUGGCAACACUGGGCUGAGGCUGAGCCUGAAGGGCUGUUUGGUUUUCACACUCAUUCAGACCAAAGCUUAGAAGCUUCUUGACAAACUCCGCAGGGUCAGUGGUGUCAAGGCUGGUAUGUCAGGAAAAUAAGUUUCAGUUCCUAAACUCAUCCCACUGGUGACCUGUCGGGGCUUUGAAACCUUUUCCAGAAGCCCAGAAGGCCGCAACAUUAAUCCAUGAUAGCACUCAAGCCUAGAGCAGCGAGGGUUGUUGGAACAGCAAAGACAUGGGAGAAAGGGGGGUGGGAAGGACAUAUUUUCUCUUGCAGGAGCUGUGACGACAUUUCAGAUCAAAUUAAACUUCAGUUUUUAAAGACUUCA
Anas platyrhynchos (mallard) is the source of this 1238-nucleotide long non-coding RNA. RefSeq lists it as uncharacterized. NCBI's taxonomy places the organism in Eukaryota, Metazoa, Chordata, Aves, Anseriformes, Anatidae. The record is from RefSeq and is a predicted model, not a curated record.